This is a long non-coding RNA of Anas platyrhynchos (mallard), 1849 nucleotides long. RefSeq lists it as uncharacterized. The record is from RefSeq and is a predicted model, not a curated record. NCBI's taxonomy places the organism in Eukaryota, Metazoa, Chordata, Aves, Anseriformes, Anatidae.
GGACUGCUCGGGGUUAGGCUGGGCAUCGGUCAGUGAGUGGAGCAACUCCAGUUGAAAGCAUCGAGACCAUUCAUCCGAGCAAACUAGGAGACAAAUUGAUGCAUAACUGGAUGGAUGGAAGAACAAAGGAAACGUUCUGUUUUAAGCAAAAGAUGUUCUCUUCAGUAUGUUUUCACUAACAGGACAACAUUGUUCUCUUUGGCCUAAGAGAGUUCAGUUUUAAACCCACAUAUGCACGGAGAGAAACAUUUAAGAUAGAACACCUGAGAUCAAGCCUGGCUGACCUCCUUCAUCCAACUCCAUUUGACAAAAAGCUGUAUGCUUGACAUUAACUUGCUGCCUCUUGUUGUAUAAGACAUUGAUUAAUGAUGUCAUCCUCUCAAAGAAAUACCCAAGACCAGCCCAUUAAUCUAAUUACUUAUGUAAUUAAUUAUGUAAUGAAGUCAAAUAAAAUACAUGAAAUUGUUACCAUAUCCUAUGCAAUAAAUAUAUUUAUUAUCUAUUGUAUUAUAGACAAAUUCUAUUAAAAUGUGAAUUUACUGUAAAGGAUUAUAAUGUUUUGAAUAUAUUAAAAAUAUAAAUAGGCUUAUACCAUUAGGGAAAAAAAUGGUAAGUUUCUGCUAGCCAACGUGACCCACAGUCCAGUUCCCACUGUUACAUGUGCUCAAAUUUAAGUGCAGGACUGUAUCAACUGAAGAUUUUUUAACACUUUGAGUCCCUUACUACACAUCCUAUCAUUUUCAUACAAGAGAUAUUUGUGCUAUCUUAACAUUAUCAAUAGUUAAUAUUUCAUAACAUAUGAAAAUUUAUUUUAAAAACCUACAUCUUUCUAGUUCCACUAGACAAGCUUACAAAAAGGUAUGAGUCCAACUAACAGUCCAAAAUCUGUAUCUAUACUGCCCUUAUUCCUUCUUUAUAUACAAGACAAAAUGGAUGCUAUAAUUUGGUUCUAUUUUUUUGAUAGGGACAAUAGAUAAACAACUGAAAUGUAUGAGGUGUAACAUUGCACAUCUGCUGCCUGGACAGAUAAUAGUUUUGCCAUGAUCAUUUCUGAACAGAUAACAUACUGAGAACUCUUUGCUACAAUCCCUGGAAGUCUUUAAAAGACGUUUAGAUGUGGAGCUUAGGGAUAUGGUUUAGUGGGGACUGUUAGCGUUAGGUCAGAGGUUGGACUCGAUGAUCUUGAGGUCUCUUCCAACCUAGAAAUUCUGUGAUUCUGUGAUCUACUUGGUGGCAUGGAUUUCUGCUCACAGAAAAUCUCUGGUAUUUUCUGUUGGGUUCAGACACUUCUAACCUACAGCUGUUCUUCAAAGCACACACACACACAUCCCCCUCGUGGUUAACUUGGGACCAGCAGCUGAUACCACAUCACAAGGCAAAGCAGGACUUGUAGCUGCUAGAAAUAAUUAAAAGCUAAUUUUCAGAAGCUCUAUCAGCAAGGACUCACUGCAGAUCUGGAGAAGUUAAUAAACAUUUAAUGAACACACUUCUGAUUUUUUAUUCCAGUUUAUGAGCCUUCUGUGGUCCUUUAAGCCUUUUGGCUCAGCCCUUGGCUGCUGUGCAGACUUUUCAGUUGCAUGAUCAAAAUUGCACCAGCAUUUCUGUUUCAUGACCAAAAUUUCACAAGAAUUUCUGUUUUGUUCUUAUAUGUCUACUUUUAUAUGUCUUGAUUUUUGAAAUUCAUGCAUGGACUUCUCUGAGAGACAACUGAGGAAUCAGGCCCAGUCAGCAUGGUUUCAAGAAAGGCACAUCCUGCCUGACCAACCUCAUCUCUUUUAAUUUUCCAAAUAGGUAGCAUACAGAUGUUUCCUCACAUCUUAUUUCCCUGAUUAUAUUUCCUUAAAUCUAA